This 460-nucleotide ribosomal RNA is filed under the name uncultured bacterium. RNAcentral describes it as "partial 16S ribosomal RNA". It matches the Rfam family "Bacterial small subunit ribosomal RNA", at positions 338 to 795 of the family's 1533-position model. The record is from RNAcentral.
CCUACGGGUGGCAGCAGUGAGGAAUAUUGGUCAAUGGACGAGAGUCUGAACCAGCCAAGUAGCGUGAAGGAUGACUGCCCUAUGGGUUGUAAACUUCUUUUAUAAAGGAAUAAAACGAGGCACGUGUGCCUUUUUGCAUGUACUUUAUGAAUAAGGAUCGGCUAACUCCGUGCCAGCAGCCGCGGUAAUACGGAGGAUCCGAGCGUUAUCCGGAUUUAUUGGGUUUAAAGGGAGCGUAGAUGGGUUUUUAAGUCAGUUGUGAAAGUUUGCGGCUCAACCGUAAAAUUGCAAUUGAUACUGGCAGUCUAGAGUACAGUUGAGGUAGGCAGAAUUCGUGGUGUAGCGGUGAAAUGCUUAGAUAUCACGAAGAACCCCGAUUGCGAAGGCAGCUUACUAAACUGUGACUGACAUUGAUGCUCGAAAGUGUGGGUAUCAAACAGGAUUAGAUACCCUUGUAGUC